This 320-nucleotide unclassified non-coding RNA is filed under the name uncultured fungus. RNAcentral's name for it is "partial contains 5.8S ribosomal RNA, internal transcribed spacer 2, and large subunit ribosomal RNA". The record is from RNAcentral. Lineage: Eukaryota; Fungi.
AACGCAUAUGGCACCCGAGACCUUGGUCGAGGGUAUGUCUGCCUCAGAGUCGGCGUAAAAACAUCCCCGAGGGUACACAGUGCCUUAUCGGGGGAGCUGGCUUUCCCAAGGGAUCUAUCCCGCCGGGGUAAAUCCGUGGGUCUGCCGAAGGGUAGAGACGGAGGACCGGGUUCAGCACCGGGCAGCCACGAUUUGGUGGGAGGAUACCUCGUUAUCCGCAUCAUCGUCGUGCGCCCAAACGCCCCGGGUCGCACCGCCCUGCAGGAAUAUUUUAUCUGAGAUCCGACCUGAGUUCAGGCAAGACCACCCGCUGAACUUAA